This 468-nucleotide ribosomal RNA is filed under the name uncultured bacterium. RNAcentral's name for it is "partial 16S ribosomal RNA". It matches the Rfam family "Bacterial small subunit ribosomal RNA", at positions 28 to 507 of the family's 1533-position model. The record is from RNAcentral.
GAUGAACGCUGGCGGCGUGCUUAACACAUGCAAGUCGAGCGGACAGGCCCGGCUCUUGUGGGGUGCUCGUGUGGCGAGCGGGUGAGUAACACGCGAGUAUACUGUCCUUGUCUUACGGAUAACUUCUGGAAAAAGGGGCUCAUACCGCAUAGGAGCUCCUGCAGCACGGGGGGCGAUGGAAAGUUUCGGUGGUUGUGUCUCGACUCGAGGCUUAUCCGCUUGUUUGUCGGGUAGUGGCUGUCCAAGGCUAUGACGGAUAGGCGGCAUGGGAGAUUGGCCGGCCACAAUGGUACUGAGAUACGGCCCAGAAUCCUACGUGAGGCAGUAGUGGGGAACAUUGCACAAUGGCGGGACGCGUGAUGCAGAAACGCCGCGUGCGGGAUGCCGGCCUUCUGGGUGUAAACCGAUUUCGCCUGUGACGAAGCGUGAGUGACGGUAAUGGGUAAAGAAGCAACGGCUAACUACGUG